RNAcentral lists this long non-coding RNA (794 nucleotides) under Numida meleagris (helmeted guineafowl). Its description in RNAcentral is "lncRNA (ENSNMEG00000009931.1)". The record is from RNAcentral. Lineage: Eukaryota; Metazoa; Chordata; Aves; Galliformes; Numididae.
UGGAAGUCUGCCUGUAGAUCAGCAAUAGGCAAGGUACAGGUGCUGCAUGCCCCAGUACACAGGGCCCACAGACCACCAGGGAUCUCUCAGGCACCAGUGGGAGUCUCAGAAAAGCACCAAGGCUCUGCUCCACCUGGCAGCAAGGCCAGAGGAGAAUUUGGCAAGGGUGAACAAGCAUCCCACAGGCAGGAUUUCCCUCAGCCACCUGGGAGGGACGGCUAGAGACAAGCUAGAAGAUGACACCAUCAUUCUGAAGUCAUCUCCACUGAGUGCAACUCCCAUGACAGGAGCAAUAUUCAGUUAUCAUUCCUCAGUGUGCACUCCUCCCUUUCUUGUGUCCCUGCACGAGCAGUGGUGCAAUUGCAUGUUGAAUAGGACUGAUGGACAAACUUGGACCAAAAAUGAUGCAGCAAUAAAGUCUAUCUAUACAGGCACAAUGCGAUCCCUCCUCCUGUGGCCAUCCCCACCACCUCAGUGCAGUGCUGGAGAUGCAGCCCUCACCCAAGGUCAUACCCACAGAGGGCAGAAGGACACAAUAGGAGAUUCAAACUCCAAACCCCACUAGGCAGUGCAACACAGUGGAAAUAUGCAGCUUUUGUGCUCGGCUGGGAAAAGAAGAAAUGUUCAAUUGUUUCUGAACCCUUGUACUGCAGAACAUUCUGUCCCACGGCACAUGUUGAUAUUUUGACUUCUUGUCCCAAAGUGGAUGGAAAUUCCAACCUUUAUUCAGCUCCUCCUGCACCCUCUAGCUACUGCUAUAAUAGAAGAAAACCAGUUACAGUGAAAGAGCUCUU